CAAUACCUGAGUAAAGUGGCGCACGGGUGAGUAACACGUGACUAAUCUACCCUCGAGUGGGGAAUAACUGAGAGAAAUCUUAGCUAAUACCGCAUAACACUUACGAGUCAAAGCAGCAAUGCGCUUGGGGAGGAGGUCGCGGCCGAUUAGCUAGUUGGCGGGGUAAUGGCCCACCAAGGCGAUGAUCGGUAUCCGGCCUGAGAGGGCGCACGGACACACUGGAACUGAAACACGGUCCAGACUCCUACGGGAGGCAGCAGUGGGGAAUUUUGCGCAAUGGGGGAAACCCUGACGCAGCAACGCCGCGUGGAGGAUGAAAUAUCUUGGUAUGUAAACUCCUUUCGAUGGGGAAGAUUAUGACGGUACCCAUAGAAGAAGCCCCGGCUAACUUCGUGCCAGCAGCCGCGGUAAUACGAGGGGGGCAAGCGUUGUUCGGAUUUAUUGGGCGUAAAGGGUGCGUAGGCGGUUUGGCAAGUCUUGUGUGAAAUCUUCGGGCUCAACCCGAAGUCUGCACAAGAAACUGCCGGGCUUGAGUAUGGGAGAGGUGAGUGGAAUUUCCGGUGUAGCGGUGAAAUGCGUAGAUAUCGGAAGGAACACCUGUGGCGAAAGCGGCUCACUGGACCAUAACUGACGCUGAUGCACGAAAGCUAGGGGAGCAAACAGGAUUAGAUACCCUGGUAGUCCUAGCCCUAAACGAUGAUUGUUUGAUGUGGCAGGUACCCAAUCCUGCCGUGU
This 735-nucleotide ribosomal RNA is filed under the name uncultured bacterium. Its description in RNAcentral is "bacterial SSU rRNA". It matches the Rfam family "Bacterial small subunit ribosomal RNA", at positions 80 to 846 of the family's 1533-position model. The record is from RNAcentral.